Non-coding RNA from Solanum lycopersicum (tomato), 345 nucleotides. The record is from RefSeq and is a predicted model, not a curated record. NCBI's taxonomy places the organism in Eukaryota, Viridiplantae, Streptophyta, Magnoliopsida, Solanales, Solanaceae.
AACCCUCUUGCAACAUCUAAUGCUAUUUGAAUAACAAAAUUCAAUGGCAAUUUUUUGAUAUGAUUUUUUAAGAGAUGAGAUCUGAGAGUGCCUCCAGGGACAUAUUCAACCACGAUAUCAUAUUCGAAUGAUCGUUGUUUUUUCAAUGAACGAUUUCUCAACCACGGAAUGCGAUUGGAUUUUGAAGUCAAUGUAGGGUAUAUGACAAAACAUAAACAAGUUCAAGUUGAACAAUCUCUUGAAUAGAGAUUCAAGAAAAAAAAUGACCCAACGACAAUUCAGAAAGUCAUCAACAACACCAAAUCUAGCGGCAUUAAGAUUGUUGAAGGUUGAAGCAAGAGAAAA